Molecule: ribosomal RNA, 498 nt
Filed under: uncultured bacterium
Lineage: Bacteria
Description: partial 16S ribosomal RNA
Rfam family: Bacterial small subunit ribosomal RNA
Source: RNAcentral
AUUGAACGCUGGCGGCAUGCCUUACACAUGCAAGUCGAACGGUAACAGGUCUUCGGAUGCUGACGAGUGGCGAACGGGUGAGUAAUACAUCGGAACGUGCCUAGUAGUGGGGGAUAACUACUCGAAAGAGUGGCUAAUACCGCAUGAGAUCUACGGAUGAAAACAGGGGAUCGCAAGACCUUGUGCUACUAGAGCGGCCGAUGGCAGAUUAGGUAGUUGGUGGGAUAAAAGCUUACCAAGCCGACGAUCUGUAGCUGGUCUGAGAGGACGAUCAGCCACACUGGGACUGAGACACGGCCCAGACUCCUACGGGAGGCAGCAGUGGGGAAUUUUGGACAAUGGGCGAAAGCCUGAUCCAGCAAUGCCGCGUGCAGGAUGAAGGCCUUCGGGUUGUAAACUGCUUCUGUACGGAACGAAAAGCCCCGGGUUAAUACCCUGGGGUCAUGACGGUACCGUAAGAAUAAGCACCGGCUAACUACGUGCCAGCCGCCGCAGUAA